GAUGAACGCUGGCGGCGUGCCUAAUACAUGCAAGUCGAGCGAACGGACGAGAAGCUUGCUUCUCUGAUGUUAGCGGCGGACGGGUGAGUAACACGUGGAUAACCUACCUAUAAGACUGGGAUAACUUCGGGAAACCGGAGCUAAUACCGGAUAAUAUUUUGAACCGCAUGGUUCAAAAGUGAAAGACGGUCUUGCUGUCACUUAUAGAUGGAUCCGCGCUGCAUUAGCUAGUUGGUAAGGUAACGGCUUACCAAGGCAACGAUGCAUAGCCGACCUGAGAGGGUGAUCGGCCACACUGGAGCUGAGACACGGUCCAGACUCCUACGGGAGGCAGCAGUAGGGAAUCUUCCGCACUGGGCGAAAGCCUGACGGAGCAACGCCGCGUGAGUGAUGAAGGUCUUCGGAUCGUAAAACUCUGUUAUUAGGGAAGAACAUAUGUGUAAGUAACUGUGCACAUCUUGACGGUACCUAAGCAGAAAGCCACGGUUAACUACGU
This 496-nucleotide ribosomal RNA is filed under the name uncultured bacterium. RNAcentral's name for it is "partial 16S ribosomal RNA". It matches the Rfam family "Bacterial small subunit ribosomal RNA", at positions 28 to 506 of the family's 1533-position model. The record is from RNAcentral.